AAGAGCAUGUGGUGGAUGCCUUGGCAAUGAUAGGCGACGAAGGACGUGAAAGCCUGCGAUAAGCUUCGGGGAGCUGGCAAAUAAGCUUUGAUCCGGAGAUUUCCGAAUGGGGAAACCCACCUGCAAAGGUAUCGCAUACUGAAUACAU
This 148-nucleotide ribosomal RNA is filed under the name Beta vulgaris subsp. vulgaris (sugar beet). RNAcentral describes it as "rRNA 5_8S_rRNA". It matches the Rfam family "Bacterial large subunit ribosomal RNA", at positions 13 to 167 of the family's 2925-position model. The record is from RNAcentral. Lineage: Eukaryota; Viridiplantae; Streptophyta; Magnoliopsida; Caryophyllales; Amaranthaceae.